RNAcentral lists this long non-coding RNA (889 nucleotides) under Theobroma cacao (cacao). RNAcentral describes it as "long non-coding RNA (TCAC_LNC005245)". Lineage: Eukaryota; Viridiplantae; Streptophyta; Magnoliopsida; Malvales; Malvaceae. The record is from RNAcentral.
CAUUUUCUAUAAAAUCACACAAUCGUAUAAAACUACUCUAGAUAAUUAAGACGAUAAUAAGUUUACUCACAGUUCUAGGAGUCGAUGUACUCCUAAUCACAGUCUUCAACCACAAUCUUUGUACUUUUACCAGUGUAAUUUGCUCACCACCUAUCCAUAAUGUACAAUACAAAAUUCACCACAUUAAUGCUUGACCAUUAUAUAAUCAAUUCAGGUUCGGUGUAUAUGCAUGAUAUGAUAUACAACUUAUUCGACUACCGCUUAAAUGCAGUGCUGACCUAAUUCGGCCUAUUACCCGAUUAAAUGACAAUUGUGUCCGAUUUAGCUCCAAAUUGCUCCAUUUCAGUUAUAAUACCUCAAUUCACCAAACAUUAUUCAAAUAACACCAAUUUCAGCAUCAAAACCCUCCCAUUUCUUCAUGGAAAAAUUCGGCCAUUACAGUGCACUAUCACUAAAAAUUUUCUCAUUCCAUUUUCUCACCCUAAAUCAUCAUUUCAUCAAUUUGUCAACCAAUUCACUUGAUCACAAAAUCAAUUCACUACUUUUGCACUUCACAUAGGAUUCGGCCAUUGAAGGUUCAUGGGGAAAAUGGAUUCUUUUCUUGUUAUUUUGCUUUUAAAUAUGCUAAACUAACUAAAAACACUAACAUAUCUUAAAAUCAAAUCAAUCCAACAUCUUUCUCUCUCUUUACCCCUUUUGACCAGCCAUGAAUUCAUCAUCAAAACAUGUAAUUUAAGCAUAGAAAAUAAGCUGAAAUGCUUAAGGAAAAUAGAUUUCAAGCUUAAGUUGAAAAAUCCUACCUUUUUCACUUGUUUUCCUUGAUUUUUCACACUUUUUCUCUUGAAAUUCUUCACCUAGGGUUUGUUCUUCCUUUCUUUCCCUCUCUUCC